GCAAGGAAUUUUGCGCAAUGGGCGAAAGCCUGACGCAGCGACGCCGCGUGGGGGAUGAAGACCCUUGGGUUGUAAACCCCUUUUCCCGAAGAAGAAUUAUGACGGUACUCGGGGAAUAAGUCUUGGCUAACUACGUGCCAGCAGCCGCGGUAAUACGUAGGAGGCGAACGUUAUUCGGAUUUACUGGGCGUAAAGCGGGUGCAGACGGCUUUUUAAGUCGGUUGUGAAAUCUCCUGACUUAAUUGGGAGAAGCCAUUCGAUACUAUUAAGCUAGAGGACGGUAUAGGAAAGCGGAACUCCCGGUGUAGCGGUGAUAUGCGUAGAUAUCGGGAGGAACACCAGUGGCGAAGGCGGCUUUCUGGGCCGUUCCUGACGUUAAGACCCAAAAGCGUGGGGAGCAAAACGGAUUAGAUACCCUGGUAGUCC
RNAcentral lists this ribosomal RNA (426 nucleotides) under uncultured bacterium. Its description in RNAcentral is "bacterial SSU rRNA". It matches the Rfam family "Bacterial small subunit ribosomal RNA", at positions 354 to 796 of the family's 1533-position model. The record is from RNAcentral.